UUGGCAGAUUAGUGCAAUAAAUUUAGAAUUUAUUUAUGUAAUUUUUAUUACAAAUAGUACUUGUUUU
Molecule: transfer RNA, 67 nt
Filed under: Lucilia cuprina (Australian sheep blowfly)
Lineage: Eukaryota; Metazoa; Arthropoda; Insecta; Diptera; Calliphoridae
Also listed under: 1 other name
Description: tRNA-Leu
Source: RNAcentral